UACGUAGGGUGCGAGCGUUAAUCGGAAUUACUGGGCAUAAAGCGCGCGCAGGCGGUGAUGUAAGACAGUCGUGAAAUCCCCGGGCUCAACCUGGGAAUUGCGAUUGUGACUGCAUCGCUGGAGUGCGGCAGAGGGGGAUGGAAUUCCGCGUGUAGCAGUGAAAUGCGUAGAUAUGCGGAGGAACACCGAUGGCGAAGGCAAUCCCCUGGGCCUGCACUGACGCUCAGGUGCGAAAGCGUGGGGAGCAAACAGG
Molecule: ribosomal RNA, 253 nt
Filed under: uncultured bacterium
Lineage: Bacteria
Description: partial 16S ribosomal RNA
Rfam family: Bacterial small subunit ribosomal RNA
Source: RNAcentral